RNAcentral lists this long non-coding RNA (295 nucleotides) under Amborella trichopoda. RNAcentral describes it as "long non-coding RNA (ATRI_LNC003570)". Lineage: Eukaryota; Viridiplantae; Streptophyta; Magnoliopsida; Amborellales; Amborellaceae. The record is from RNAcentral.
AGCAAUAUCACCUUAGUCUUUCUUUCAAUUUGUUUGGCUCUUCAAUCCAUGUCUUCCAUCUCUCUGCCCUUUUCUUCUCCAUCCUCUCCCACCCUAGUUCUCUUUCGUCCAGGAACUCUUCUUGAUUGUCAGCCUUCUUUCCUUUCUCGUCUCUCUUCUUUCCAAUGGGAUAACGCUUAAGACAUGAUCUCCCCUCUUUCUGGGCCUGGUAUCCUGUCGUUGGCCUCUUUGGACUUGGGCAGUUGCUCUUUGAAGACCAUUGCAUCUGAAGGCCUAGGUUAACGCCUAAUUUGGG